RNAcentral lists this ribosomal RNA (590 nucleotides) under uncultured bacterium. RNAcentral describes it as "bacterial SSU rRNA". It matches the Rfam family "Bacterial small subunit ribosomal RNA", at positions 197 to 807 of the family's 1533-position model. The record is from RNAcentral.
GUGUGAAAAACUCCGGUGGUAUAAGAUGGACCCGCGUUGGAUUAGCUAGUUGGUGAGGUAACGGCCCACCAAGGCGACGAUCCAUAGCCGACCUGAGAGGGUGACCGGCCACAUUGGGACUGAGACACGGCCCAAACUCCUACGGGAGGCAGCAGUGGGGAAUAUUGCACAAUGGGCGAAAGCCUGAUGCAGCGACGCCGCGUGAGCGAAGAAGUAUUUCGGUAUGUAAAGCUCUAUCAGCAGGGAAGAUAAUGACGGUACCUGACUAAGAAGCACCGGCUAAAUACGUGCCAGCAGCCGCGGUAAUACGUAUGGUGCAAGCGUUAUCCGGAUUUACUGGGUGUAAAGGGAGCGCAGGCGGUGCGGCAAGUCUGAUGUGAAAGCCCGGGGCUCAACCCCGGUACUGCAUUGGAAACUGUCGUACUAGAGUGUCGGAGGGGUAAGCGGAAUUCCUAGUGUAGCGGUGAAAUGCGUAGAUAUUAGGAGGAACACCAGUGGCGAAGGCGGCUUACUGGACGAUAACUGACGCUGAGGCUCGAAAGCGUGGGGAGCAAACAGGAUUAGAUACCCUGGUAGUCCACGCCGUAAAC